UUGUGGUUAAAAAGCUCGUAGUUGGAUCUCAACAGCCUUGAAAGCGGUUAACUUUGUAGUUUUACUGCUUUAUAGGCUGUGCUUUUGCUGGAGGUUUAGGGGUGCUCUUGAUCGAGUGUCUCUGGAUGCCAGCAGGUUUACUUUGAAAAAAUUAGAGUGCCCAAAGCAGGCUAAAAUGCCUGAAUAUUCGUGCAUGGAAUAAUAGAAUAGGAUGUCGAUCCUAUUUUGUUGGUUUUCGGGACUCGACAUAAUGAUAAAUAGGGACAGUCGGGGGCAUUUGUAUUCAAACGACAGAGGUGAAAUUCUUGGACCGUUUGAAGACAAACUACUGCGAAAGCAUUUGCCAAGAAUGUUUUCAUUAAUCAAGAACGAAAGUUAGAGGUUCGAAGGCGAUUAGAUACCGCCCUAGUUCUAACCAUAAACGAUGCCAGCUAGCGAUCUACCGGCGUUUAAACUUAAGACUCGGCAGGAAGCUUCCGGGAAACCAAAGCAUUUGGGUUCCAGGGGAAGUAUGGUUG
This 518-nucleotide ribosomal RNA is filed under the name uncultured eukaryote. RNAcentral's name for it is "SSU rRNA". It matches the Rfam family "Eukaryotic small subunit ribosomal RNA", at positions 613 to 1131 of the family's 1831-position model. The record is from RNAcentral.